RNAcentral lists this unclassified non-coding RNA (224 nucleotides) under Hevea brasiliensis (rubber tree). Lineage: Eukaryota; Viridiplantae; Streptophyta; Magnoliopsida; Malpighiales; Euphorbiaceae. The record is from RNAcentral.
CGGCAAGGCCGGCGCCUUCGGCGAUGCCGUCACCAUCACCCGCGAGAAGAGCAAGAUCACCGUCACCUCGGAUGGCCCCUUCUCUAAGCGAUAUCUGAAGUACUUGACAAAGAAAUACUUGAAGAAACAUAAUGUUCGUGACUGGCUCCGUGUGAUUGCGUCCAACAAGGAUCGCAACAUUUACGAGCUGAGGUACUUCAACAUUGCAGAUAAUGAAGGUGAAG